RNAcentral lists this ribosomal RNA (639 nucleotides) under Cephalenchus cephalodiscus. RNAcentral describes it as "eukaryotic LSU rRNA". The stretch from base 281 to 433 matches the Rfam family "5.8S ribosomal RNA". The record is from RNAcentral. Lineage: Eukaryota; Metazoa; Nematoda; Chromadorea; Rhabditida; Tylenchidae.
UAACAAGGUAGCUGUAGGUGAACCUGCUGCUGGAUCAUUAACGACUAUAAAACACAAUGAUCAUUCUAGUCCGUAGAAGUACCUCUGGUACCCAGCUAGACUGCUGGUAUGGGCGAUAACGGUUCCGCUGGUUUCUAUGCAUUCGCCGAGUAGUUGUCACUAUCCGUGGCUACAGUGAAGCGAUGUGAUAGCCCCCAUUGGGGUAGAAUCAAUGAGCACCUGCUAUUGGGGCCGCCAGCAAAACAUUUUCAUUUUAAACAUUUUUCACUAGAAAAUAUUCUAGCCUUAUCGGUGGAUCACUCGGUUCGUAGAUCGAUGAAGAACGCAGCCAAAUGCGAUAAUUAGUGUGAACUGCAGAUAUAUUGAGCACUAAAGCUUCGAAUGCACAUUGCGUCGUUGGAUUCUAUCCUUCGACAUAUCUGGCUCAGGGUCGCAAAUACACAACAACCUUCUGUGUUGUUCGAGUAGGGGAAUCGCGCUAGCCACGCGGUUCCUCAAUUGGAUUCCUGUCUGCUGGUCUAGUAGGGUUUAUGGCACGUCCGUUGACUUAGGAUAGCCGUUUUCUCCUGCUCUCCAGUGGACUCGAUCUUUCGACCUGAGCUCAGGUAUGAGUACCUGCUGAACUUAAGCAUGUCAGUA